This is a long non-coding RNA of Oreochromis aureus, 855 nucleotides long. The record is from Ensembl. NCBI's taxonomy places the organism in Eukaryota, Metazoa, Chordata, Actinopteri, Cichliformes, Cichlidae.
AGAAGUACCAGGCAACCCCUAAGAUCAAUCUUUGCUGAAAUAACAAUUUAAAAUGAAUAAUUACCAGAUGGGCAUGUGACAAUGACUUGACAUAUAGGCUCUGAGGGUAAGCUGUCUUUAGUCUCAAGUCUACUGUGAAAAUAGUGGACGCCAGUUUCUUUAACCAGGCUGUAUGUAGUAGAGAUGUUAGUCGUGGUUAAAUUUGACAGACACGUUCCAUUUUUCCAAGUCCACUGAAUGUUAGGCUCUUUGUAGCUGUCAAGCUUUACAACACAUUGGUAAAUGUUUCCACCAUUUGGGUGAGUCUCCCUGUGCUGAAAAAUGUGUGUCCCUGGUGAGAGAUGAUUUUUGUUAAAAUAAUGAAAUUUCAUGAGUAUUAAAAGAUUGUUGGUAUCCACGAUGGAUGACUUACCCAAAACCACAAGAUUCACAAAAAAAAAUCUGUAUUGUGGAGAAUAAAAACGACAACUGUAUUUUCCCUGGUCUUCUUUUGUGAUGUUUUUCAAGAGAACAGAACAAUUACUGCUGUCGUUAUGAAAAAAUGUUUCAUAUCGGUGGGACGGGUUUCCUUUAAAAUCUAAGGUCCCAUCAUUAUAUCUGAAGAUCAAUUUUCCCUUCACCCCUCUCUCCUCAUCAUCUUCCACUUGCCACUUGAAGUCCUUAUUCAAAUCUCUAUUAGAGCAAUUGCAUGGCAGGAGCACAUCGUCUUUCUCAAAGCCUUUGACAGCGACAGUGAUGCCUUCACCUGCAACAGAAAAGAUGACCAAUCAUAAGUCCAGUUAUCAGAAUCAUAAUGUUGGUUUUCCUGCUGCAUUAAAUUAUCAAAAGUAAACUUGACAAACUAGGAAAACACAG